UCAGAGGAGCCAACGUGUCGCUAAAGUGCAGAUAUAAUUGCCACACAGGCCAUUAGAGAUUGGCUAAUCUCUGCCACAAUACCACUCUGACAUUUACAAAAGAAGCUCCACAGCAUUGUUGAAUGGUUACACAAUUGUCAUUAUUAUACUAAGUGAAACAGUGACAGGAAACUCUAUAGACUCAUUCCCUAAUGUGACUAAAUUUCUUCUUGUACAUCUUUUAUUCAUAGAAAUAAGAAGAGGAAAAACAGAGGGACAUGUUGGCUGGUUAUUUUGGUCCAAACGCCUGUCAUUUACAUGUUCACACCAAAACCACCCACCCCCACUAAGUCAGUGUCUCAUUUGUCCCUUUUUAUAAGCACUUAUGAGUGUCUGUGAGACUGUGUGUUUGUGUCAGUGUGUCUGUGUGUGCGUGUAUAUCUGGCUUGGGCAGCUGAUUCUCUCUGCCAGAAAAUGUCCUGCAGCAAGAGUUUGGACUUGAGAAAGUGUCCGCUGCUCUGUCGAUAUGUGACACGCUGCCAAAUCGGGCAUGCAGCCACUUUCGAUUAGCAUGGUCCAAUGCUGCCCGUUCACCGCAGCAGCAUGGCCAGAAACUGAUCGAGAGCGCUGAGAGAAACUUCAUACUGCCAAAAGCAAGUUUGAGAUGCUGCAAACAGUAAAAACAAUAAUAGAGAAAUCAUAAUAAAAUACGUGCCAGCCAGUAAUUGUUGUUUGUUUGUUUGUGUGGUUGUUGUAGGCGAAAAAAUUAGCCACAAUUGGUGACAUAGUGUGUCAAUAAUCUCUGAAAUAAGGCAGAGGUUUUCCUGUUUGAAGACAGUGAGAGAUGACAUAUCAAGGAUUAAAGCUGAGAAGUCUGAACAUAUUUCCCUAUUUUAAAUGUGACACCAGCAAUGUGUUCCCAAACAAUUAGGACAGGGACAGCAAAACACUUAGAAGUUGUGUUAUGUUAAAAAUUCCUGGAGGAACAUCUCUAAAGUUUUUCAAUAAAAUUAGUUUGUUACAGGUUAGUUAUAUGACUGAGCUAUGGUCCUUGCUGCGGUGGUCGCUGACUCGACUUUCAGAGUCGACCCUUUGCUGCAUGUCCUCCUCUGCUCUCGGAAGAAGGGAUGGAGCAGAGGAGGACCCUGUUUUUAAUCAAUGCACAGGUCAAAAGCCAACAUCAGUGCUAAACAAUAUACUCAGGACAAGAAUGGGACAUAUCACUGUCAAACUACAGGAACUGGUCUCCUGGGUCUACAAAGAUUUAGUGUGUUUUUAAAAAAACAUCACAUAAAUUCACUAUUCCUAAAAUCAAAACCAUUAAAAUUCACUGACCUGGUUGACUUUAAAACAGCACAAAUCAUGUACAAAGCAAUAAACAAUCUACUGCUUGGAAAUAUCCAAAAAAUUGUUUUUUGAACAGAACUAGGGGGUAUCCUUUGAGGGGGGACUUAAACUUAAAGCAUCAGCGGGCAUGUAUAACAUUGAAAAGUUUUGGGGUUUCUGUUGGUGGAGUAAGGUGGUGGAACUGAUUAGGUAUGGAGCUCAAGCAAUGACCAAGCAUGGCCCAGUUUAAAAGGUGGUACAAACACAUGAUUCUCACCAGGUACGGGAAGGAGGAAGGGCUUAAACCUUAAGAUGUUUUCAUAAAUCAUUGAUGUUCUUACUUAUUUACUGUAUUUAUUUUGUACUUUUUGUAAAUAUAAUGUAAAAAUGUUGGAGAGACUGACCGUUAAUUGAGUAGCAGAUUAUUGUUAUUGUUGUUUUGAAUAUUGUCAUUGGUUUGUUUGUUGUCAGUUUACUUUCUUGUGUUGCAAAUGUUAAAAAAAAGUAAAAUUAUAAUAAAAAUAAAUAAAAAGAAGAGGAUAUGCACCUCAAUGGUACAUGUCCAUGUCCUAACUGUUUUAAAAUGCGUCUCUGCUUGAGAAACAAACUGAUACUGAAACUGGUGCUUUUUUAUGACCUUUAGAAGCAAACAAGACUGAACGUUUCACUGUAGCAACUAUAAACAUUUAAAACUGAUGUAAGAGGGGCUGAUUCAGACCAGAUGAUUGACAGAUAGACUGAAAACAUGGGUUUGCCUCUUUACAUGGCAAAAACUCGUAGUGUGUGAUGAAUUUUACUGAUAAAUGACAACAGAACAAGGUGCACAAACUGGGACAGGUUGAAUCACACUGUAACGGUAUGACAGGUCUGGCCAAGGACAUCGUUAUCCCCGUACUGAGCUCUUCCUGUUCCUUGACCCCUUGUGUAUUGGACUGGAUGCUACAGCAAGAGGUAGUUAGAGAGUUAGCAGGAUGUUGUUGAUAUCAAACAGCAGUAAAAACCAUUUAUUAGUAUGGGGAGACUUUGUGGAAAAACGAGAUGUGUAGUUAACACAAAUGUGCAAAAACAAUCUGAAUGGUCCUUAAAUAAUGGCUGCUCACAUGAUUAUCUUCGUGUCUUUGUUCCUCCCCUGCUCUCCUCAAACUUCGCUGUAUCAGCUAAUAAAAGAUCAAGUAAUUCUCUCUCCCUAUAUUUCACUUAUCUCUCCCAUCUCCUCUCUCUACCUCCCUUCUUUGCUCUUUCUCUGUCGGUGUUUUGGCACCUCCCUCUCCUUUUCCGCUUCUUUCCAUAACUCCCUCCAUCACGCUGCCACUAUUUAGGGGCUCAGUUAACAAGCCAUUUAAGCCUCAUCUUCUCUCCUCCCUAAUCACACAUGCAAUAUUCAUACAUGGCUGUCACUCACGCAGACACAUUAGGGCUCUCAUUCUUUCUCCGCUCUCUUCUUCCCACUCUUUUUUCUGAUCCCCUAACCUCAUCUCUUCAUCCCCAACGCUCUCCUUCCUCUUCUCCUGCCCACUCUCAUCGUUCUGUCUCCCGCUUCCAUUUUCUCCCACUUCCUCUCUGCCUCUCCCUCCCUCUCACCCUUUCAAUCUCCCCCUCUCUUCCCAUCUGCGCACAUAGAAAGACUGAGACGUCUUCAGUCUUUUCAUGUGAUUGACAUGGAAGGACUGUGGUGGAAACUGUUUAUCCUUUCAUAGAGAUGCUAAAUUCAGAAUCUGCUUAUUGAUAAUAAUCUGCUGUAAUUCAGCCAUGAUGAUACAUUCAAAUAACAAAUACUCUUCUCAUAUGCAAGCAUAAACCCAAAGGACCUGCUUGGUGUUUUAAUUUGGCUGAAUAUUAAAGUCUGCAUGCUUGGUUGCCUGCAAAAUCUUUUGUUGAUGUACCCGCCAACAGCAUCCUAAGGAGGCAAAGUGUGGCUCUAAAAAUGAGUCACAGUGCUGCAAACACUGGUGUAAACACGCUGCUCCAGUAGGUUAUUAUCAACAAGGUGCAGAGUGAUAAAAUACAAAACAUCUACCCAUCUGCAGCAAGUAUUACAGGCCUUGUGUAAGGAGUGCUCACUAUGACCUCACUUCGAGCCAAACCAAUGCUCACUGCUCUCCUCAUUGCAACAACAGCUUGAGUUUGUGUAAUCAGAAGUUUGGUAUCCUACAGUGAUCCUGACUGAGGAAGAUUUUGACGUUUUUUUUCUUACAGUUGGUGAAAAAUAGUAUGAAAAGGGACCUGGUUGGUGAGUGGGGCAGACUGUUGUUGCAGAUGCCCUGCUGGUUUCUGCUGGUUCAGAAAGGUCCUGAAGAACUGUUGAUACCAAGAUUGUUCAGUUUAAGCACCUGCAACACCAGGAAAUUUAGGAUCUCUCCUUAGGAUCACUUUAGCAGAGAAGUUUCUAUUUACUAUUAUUUAGUUUGGUCGUUUUUUUGUCACUUUAAAACCCACAGACCCAAACAGAUGAUGAGUGUGCUGCAGGCAGAAGUGCAAACUGCGUUGCAUCUAAAAUCCCACUGAGCAAUAGACGGCUAUUAGACGUCUAGUUAGACGGAAUUUAGAUGUUGCAUUUUAACCCAUUAGUCAAUAAUUAUUUAUUUCAAAAAGCAACUGUGAGUUGCAUAACUGAUCUCCAAGUAAUUAACCAAAAUAAUUAUGAUUAGCAAUAUACAGCGUAGACCUCUGUUAGCCAGCUAGUCUAAACUUAGUCUAAAUUUAGAUGUAAAGAUAACUUUCAUUUUUAGACUUGUUAGCCUGAUUUUAGACCAGUUAUCUAGGCUACAUUUAGACGUCUAUUAGACUUCUUCAUGACCAGAAAAUGCUCAGUGAGAUUGUUGUAAAAAAAAUUGGACUCUCUUAAAAAUGCUGAAAAAAUCUCUACUUUUGUGAUCAAAUGAUCAAAUGAUAAGUCAUCUUAAAAAGAGUACAUGAAUGACUCAGAUCUGUUUGCAUAAACUGUAGCCUAGCUUGCCUGUCGAUUCUCCCUGCAGUUUCUCCUGAACUAGGCAGAGCUGACUAGCAUAUAUGUACCCAGACUGUUUCCCUGUUGAAGUUUUCCUAAAGUAUUUUCAGGUUUAAGGUUAAAACUUUGGGCUAACUGGAGUAUGGCAGUUGUGUUGCUCUUAAUUUAUUUUUUAAUUUUAAUGUAUUGGGUCACUGUUUAGCGGAUUCUGUCACAUUUUAAUUGGUUAAAAUUUCUCAUUAAAAGCAAUAUUCAGACAACUGUGCCAGCUAAUAAGUCUCCCUCGCUCGCUCUCUCUCCCCAUUUCUCUUGUUCGCUCCCCGUUAACGGCACAUUGCUAAUCAGCACGAGUGUGGAUGGGUAUCCAAAUGCAAUCACAGACAAUUAUGCUCCUUGCUGUGCUUGUGUGCAUUUGUGCCUAUGUGUGUGCGUUUGUCUGUGUGUGCGUGUGUACGUUUUUAGACCAUUAGGAAGUAACGCGCUGAUUAGCCGUCAACUUUUACUGCCAGACACGCAGACAACAAACAAAAAGAGGCACAAGCACACACACACACACACUCGCAGCAGACACACACAAGCCACUGUGCAUUCAGGAUACUUGUCACAGUCACGGUCAGAACAGCAGGAUACACUGCAGCUCAGUUGGUUAAUAAUAAUAUUAAGAAAAAUUAAAGCUGGAAGCUAUAUUAGCUGAAGUCCUGUCAUUAGCUGAAUUUAGUAUUUUUGUAAGUUUUUGGGUAACUUUUUUUCCACUUCCCUUUUCCUUUUACUGUAUUUUUAUGUUUGACUCUUACAGGCUUUAUUCUGCAAGUUCAGCUGCAGUCAUCCAUUUCAGCAGCACUGCGUCUCAUUGUGCUCGUGUAAAUACUGAGCAGCCCAGUCCAUUCUCACACAAGCUGACCCAGUUGUGUGACAUGCUCGCCCACCAUCUGCCACACUCUUUUAUUGUUAUUUAUACGUUAUUUUGGGAUGGUGUGCGGAGUUAUGGUAAAGAGGGAGUUCAUAAGAUAGAAGAGCUGCUAUAGUUGGGGAAAAAGUUUGUGUCCUCGGAAUGGUAAUAAGACACAUUUAUUCUGCAACACAGCACAAAAUGACCACUCUGAGUUAUUGUAUGUAUGUGGUAAUUUGUUAUUGUUCGGAGAUGGUGAGUCAUGAUACAGUGUGAGCCAAGAUUUUUGGAUUUCAUAACUGAAUCACCGGCUUGUAUCCUGUUUUGAAACAUUAGCUCCCCACCCAGUGGAAUUCCAAGAAUAUGAAUUCUUCUUGCCGCAACAUACUGACGCCAACGAUGCAAUGACAGUUAUCCCAAAAUACCUGCAAUUCUCUGGAGGUCAACGUGACAUUUUUCCAACUACAUGAACAAACUUCUGCAAACUGUAUUUCCUUGAUAUUUUAGGGCAUAAUUUAGUACGGCGCCCCCUGUGGAAAAAAUCCCUCAGCUUUGGACAAUGUAAAAAAAAAAAUUACUUUAACCGGUCAUAAAGUGGCAUCAAUAUGAUUUUCAUUUUGUUUCAUAAGCAUCUAAAAACUCCUCAUUUGUUUGAUCUAUGUUUAAUGAUCUUGGGGUCUUUGAGGACAUGACAGAUGCACAUAUUUUUGCAGAUGAAUGUCCAAAGCAAAUGGUCCAAAAUAAAGUUUGUAGCUUUGCUGCAGGCGUGGUUGCAGCGCAGAAGGUGCUGCUGUUCUCCUCUCUUGGUGGACGUCUUGUUUAGCAAUGAGGCUCUAUGUUUCUAAAGUGGUACACAUGUAGUACAUUGUGAUAAUGAGCCUUAGUGAGCUCAUUGAGCAGCUGUUGAGUGUAAUUAGUAUUUAAUCUUGGAGAGGAGAGUGCUGUGAAUAUUCACACUUUGAUCAACACAGCCAGCCCAUCAUCUCCUGUCCUCUCAUUUCAUUUUCUCCUUCCUUCCUUCAUUUAUUCAACUCCUCCUCCUCCUCCUCCUUUUUUCUCCUCCUUCUUCUCCCUGCCCCCAUCCCCUUCCUCCUCCUCCUCUUUUUCCACUUGUUUGCGCUCCCAGAGGAGCAUGAGCUGUUUGCAUGUUAAUGUGGGAAAAGCUCCCCUCCUUAAUUCUUCUCUCUGCUUGCGUGUUUAUUCCUUCACACACUCUCUCUCUUUGCUUAUUUUUGUCUCUGAGGUAAUUUUAUAGCUUUAUUAUGAAAUUGUAUAAUCAGUAUGAUAAUAUAUUUACGCCCCAAAGGCCGGGAUGUACCACUCAGUCGUAACUUGUGCCCUGUGGAGACCUGUAAUCUUCACAGCUUUUUUGAAACUCGUAAAAACGACAAGAAAAAAGAUUUUCCACCGAAGCACACCACUGACAUGUUCUUUCUUUUCUUCUGUGUCGCUUGUGGUGAUCUUGGGGCCUGCAACAAUCUUUGAACGUACUACAGAGGAACUGUCGCAGCAGUCAGUUACAGUGGAAAACAACAACAACCCAGAGAAGAAACUUGUAUUUUCUUGAAUUUCUAAGGAGAAAAAUCUGCAAGUCAGAUCCCGUCACAAAGAAUUUAUACAGUUUGGACCUUUGGCAGACGUGUUAAAAAACAGAGGUUACAUGAUGAUUGAUACUGUGCAUUGUAAAUCUUUUAGUAAUUCAAUAGUUUCUUGGUUUAAGGAACAAGGGAUCCAACAGUGAUUUGUGCCACAAUGCUAAUCAGUAAAGGCAUUCAAAUGCAAUCACUGACAAUUAUAGCCUGCUGAAAGUGUGUUAUUCUGCGGAUAAGUUAGUGCAUGUGUGUAUGUGUGUGUUUGAUUAGCCAGUGUCUCGCUGAUUAGUCAUCAAUCCUCAUGGUGCCAAACUGACUGUCAGCGAGACAACAAGCAGAAAUCAAGAGCCACUUUAUGCUUUGCUUAUAUAAAUCCAUACAUAUACGUCAAGGCUUCUUAAAACUCGACUCCAUCUGUGUGAAUUCAUCUCUGGUGGGUUUGUUUAUCAUGAGAUUGAUCAGUGUUUUUUCCAGUUUUUUCUACUCAUCCCCAUGUGGCACUUUGAUCUUUUGUUUUUCUUCACACACGGCUUUUUAAUCGUUAUUAUCUUCAACUUAGAUUUAUAUAGCAAACGCACCCUGUGUGGAGCGCUAAUUAUGACGUCCCUAGCGUUAUUCAACUCUGCUGCUUUGCAUGUUUGCAUGCUUGUGUGCCCACUUUCAUAUUUUUCCUGUGCAAAGCAGCAUGCAAAUCUGUGUUUUAGUAUUUCGCUUAUUGUUAUUCAGUCACUGCAGGUGAUUUCUAUGUUUGCCAUUAUUUUCAGUGCUGUUCAGCUCACGGCUAAAACAACAGAGUGAGGGCUGCUACAGUGAAAUAAAAAACAGUGGGAUUAGUGUGGACAGAGAGACAGAAGCCAGUGUGAGGAGGGGAUGCUGGCUGUAAAGUGACAGCAUCUGCAUGAAAAUUAAAAAAAUAAUAAUUAACAUUUGCUGGCCUGUCCCCUGUAAUUUUGUGUACCCUCAGUAAUGAUGAUUAGUAUUUGUGUUGCUAACACUUGUUUGUUACAGAGCGGCUGUGAUUCAUUAAUGUGCAAAUGUUGCAUUGCAGUGCUGAGGCAGAAUUCAUCUCAGAUUUUCCUCCCAAAUACUUUGCAUUCCUUUACCUUUCUAAUGCAAUAGAUUAACAUCCAAGGGCAGAUUAAUUACAAAGCAAAAGGAUGUGGAAGCGGGUACACUCAUGCCUUUGGGCAUAAACCUGUCUCUUGGUACCUUUUUGAGAUGGAUUUAACCAUAGCCCUCUUUAAACAUGCACUCCUGAAAAUACUUGGAAGUUUCAGCUUAGCCAACCUCUGAAAUGUUUUAAAUCUCUGCAUAUCUGCAGAAGUUGCUGUGCAAGGUUUAACUGAUAUCGAAGAUGGAGGGUGAAGCAGAGUCGGAUACUAUAACUAUAAGUAAAAAACAAAACAAAAAACAAGGCUUUAUGAAAAGAAAAUAAUAAUAGUAAUAAUAAAUAUAUUUUUUUUUUAUAAAAUCAAAGACAAGCCUAACAGGCAAUAAUAAUUAUUUGAAGAGUGGAAAAAAAAGACACACAAUGGUGAGUUGGAUCAAGAAUGAAGCAACAUGCGUUUUGAUGAAAAUACUGACUCAAUUAGAGUGUAAAUUUGACCUACAGAAAAGUAUUUUAACUCUGUGACAUAAAAAAUGUAAUUUGAUUUAAAAGUACAUUUUUAUCAGAGGCAGUCAAUCUUUUCAGGCUUAUAUAAUGUCCUGUACAAUGUCAAAACUUAAAGGUGGGGUAGGCAGGAAUCUGUUGAAGAAGCAUCUGUUUUUGUGGUGUAUUUACAAAAAAGCUUUUAAUAUCAGUCAGUAGUAUUGUUCAUUUAUGAAAUUUGGGAAUAUUAUGAUUUUGCUGUGUUUUGUUGUGUCUGUGUAGGCAACAUUUUAAAAUUUUUUGGGCGUCCUGCUCUUUCUGAUUGUAAACAAAGCCAUUCUCCGCCUCCCCCAACCUGAUUGGUUGUGAGGCAGACCCUGCUCCCUCGUGUUGUGAGUGUUACGGCCCACCCUUAGGCGGCCCUAUGGGGCAAACAACUAUCCUCAACUUUUUACCCAUCAAAUUAACAAACACCUUCAAAUGUUUAACAAGUGAUUUAAUGUGACAACAUAACAAAAUUGCAAAGUAAACACAAAGCACCCACAACACAAAGGAGAGGCAUUUGGUGGGGAACUGCUGCCCUGCUGCCUCUCAUUUGUGUUGUGGGUGCUUUGUGUUUACUUUGCAAUUUUGUUAUGUUGUCACAUUAAAUCACUUGUUAAACAUUUGAAGGUGUUUGUUAAUUUGAUGGGUAAAAAGUUGAGGAUAGUUGUUCGCCCCGUAGGGCUGCCUUCAGGUAGGGCGUAACAUGAGGCACGCUCCAUGCCCUCAAAUAAAAUUCAAGAGCCCUAAUGCUAACAAAAGUUAGCAUGCUACAACAUCGCACGGUAGAAACCAACUAGAAAGUAGGAAAAUUUU
RNAcentral lists this long non-coding RNA (9182 nucleotides) under Xyrichtys novacula (pearly razorfish). Lineage: Eukaryota; Metazoa; Chordata; Actinopteri; Labriformes; Labridae. The record is from RNAcentral.